AUGUUAAGAGGCACAAAAGAUAGGACCCUGUAAGCCUUCCAGCAGCAUGCAGGCUGAAGAGAGACUGACAAAUAAAAAUUCAAUAGGAACAUGCAGGUUGAUCAAAAGUAAGUUAAUUACAGCUUACCAGAACUUUUACUAAUCUAUAUUGACAUCUAGGAGCCUUCCAAGAGAAAGUGUUCUUCAUGUUUGAAGAAGAUGGGGCCAUCGUUUGGCAGGAAAUAGGAAGGUCAAGCCAAGACAAAAGUAUCCACCGAAUGUCCCUCUGCACCAGCAUGUGGGGUGUUACAGCAGGCAGAGUCCCUGACGACCUCUACCUCCGGCCACCACCAUCCACACAGGAGCCUUUAUCAGAAGUGCCGUCUCCUGUGUUUACCCACCUUCUGGAUGUGUGUGCAGAGUGGUGCAAAGAGUUGGAAGCAUUGCUGAGGGAGUGCAAGUGGAAGGUUGCUAUGACAGCCAGGAAUUUGCAAACCAAACCAGACCUGGAGAAGAAGUCUGUCCUUGGCCCAAAAAGUCUGCAGUUCCAAAUGGUUCUGCUCAAGGUUCUUGUUGUCUUAUUUGACACCUGCCAGAUGGAAGAACCUCUAAACCUGGGAUUUGGAAAUGUCCCAACAGAAAGGCUAUUUCCAAGCUGGCUGAAGCUGUGUUCAACGGAAUUGAGGUGUGAUAGAAGGAACUUCUUGGCAAGAAAAACUGGAAAAUAUUACAAUAGGUCCCAGAGAGAACCUCAUUAUCUUCUCGAAAAAAAUUUUAUAUUUGUUUAGUGUUCUGUGGUUUGCUAAGCACAUUCACAUAAAUUAUCUAAUUGGCUCUUCACAUCCGCCUGGUGAAGGAGUAAAAAUAGAUAUCAUAAUACUUGACCAAAGACAAGGAAAAUGAAGUUCAAUAAAAAUAAGAUCAAACAGCCAACAAGCAACAGAACUGAGAUUCGAAUCUGGGUUUUCCGACUGUAAAUGUAGCUCUUUUAAUUCUAUUAUGAUAAUUCCCCAAAAUAUAAAAGAGAUCACAUCUGAGCUGGACAGCUUAGAAAUAGGUAUUUUUCUAAAAUAAAGUGAUGUUGUAGAUAAUUUUUUUGUGGUAAAAUACACAUGAUGUAAAAUUUACCACUUUAAUCAUUUUUUUAAUUUUUGUUUUUGAGACGGAGUCACACUCUGUCGCCCAGGUUGGAGUGCAGUGGUGUAAUCUCAGCUCACUGCUACAUCCGCCUCCCAGGUUCAAGCAGUCCUCUGCCUCAGCCUCCCCAGUAGCUGGAAUUACAGGUACGCACCAGACCCUGCUAAUUUUUGUAUUUUUAGUAAGAUGGGGUUUCACCAUGUUGGCCAGGCUGGUCUCGAACUCCUGACCUCGUAAUCUGCCCGCCUCAGCCUCCCAAAGUGCUGGCAUUAUAGGUGUGAGCCACCAUACCCAGUCGCACUUUAAUCAUUUUUAAAUGUACAAUUGACAGGAAUCAAGUACAUUCAUUAUCGUGCAACUGUCACCACCAUCUCUCUAGAACUUCUUCAUCUUCUCAAACUGAAACUCUGUACUCUUUAAAUAAUAACUCCCCAAGUCCCUCCUCUCAGCCCCUGGAAACCAUCAUUCUACUCUAUGAAUUUGACCACUCUAGGUAACUCAUAUAAGUGGAAUUACACAGUAUUUGGCCUUUUGUGACUGGCUCAUGUCACUUAGUAUAACGUCUUCAAAGUUCAGCCAUGUUGUAGCGUGUAUCAGAAUUUUCUUCCUUUUUGAGGCUGAGAAUAUACAAUUGUAAAGAUAUACCACAUGUUGGCUAUUCAUCUAUCGGUAUAUGGCCACUUGGGGUUGCCUCCACCUUUUGGCUA
This is a long non-coding RNA of Rhinopithecus bieti (black snub-nosed monkey), 1823 nucleotides long. The record is from Ensembl. Lineage: Eukaryota; Metazoa; Chordata; Mammalia; Primates; Cercopithecidae.